Long non-coding RNA from Capsicum annuum, 789 nucleotides. RefSeq lists it as uncharacterized. The transcript has 3 exons. Lineage: Eukaryota; Viridiplantae; Streptophyta; Magnoliopsida; Solanales; Solanaceae. The record is from RefSeq and is a predicted model, not a curated record.
CCCUGCUAGAAACAAAAAAAAUCACGUAUCGCCUUUACACUUGACGUUCUUCUAUUAGGAGAAUAGAUUUUCCAGGGAACAUAGUUUGCAAUCCUUUUCUUAUUUUAUCAAAAUUCCUACGGAUCAUUUUCAAAUUUGUCAAGGACUAGGAAAUAUUAACCACCGCCUUAUGUUUAUAAAUAGGACUUUCUGCCAUGCAAUUGAGUCAUUCUCCUUAUCAUUCCUCCAACCGGUUAUUUUUAGCUCUCACAAAAUCUCAAUUCCUGUUUAGGUAUUUUUAUUUUAUUUUAUUGACUCGUAUCUAUUCUCUUUGUAGGGAAAAAAAUGAAUUAAAUCCAUGAAGAGUCAAUUUGAGAUGUGAGAGUUUCAAUUUGCCUUUGACACCUUGAAACUGAUCAAUUCGGCUUCAAGUUUGGUGACUAUGUAAGAGUCAGCUUAAGAUUGACGUAUUGGACAACUUCAUUUGAAAAAUUCAUACUUACAGGAUUCGAAGACUUCAACUAGCGAACUUGGCGUUUUGGAAAACUUCACCUUAUAUAUUUGGUUUGAGGAACUUAAACGUUUCAAAUUAUGUAGAAAAAAUCUAUCUGUUAUGGAGGUCUACACUAUUGAGCCAUGAAUACUUUGUGUAAGUCUAAAGUUCUGUGAGAGUAAUUAUAGACCUUACUUUCAUAUGACAGAUCAAGUGAGAACAUUUUACACUCGCGCGAUUGAACUUAGAAUGUAACUCUAAGUGCCUACAUACCUCGAUAAAGAUGGUAAAGUCAUAACAUAAUUCUACAGAUUUAG